GAUGAACGCUGGCGGCGUGCCUAAUACAUGCAAGUCGAGCGAACGGACGAGAAGCUUGCUUCUCUGAUGUUAGCGGCGGACGGGUGAGUAACACGUGGAUAACCUACCUAUAAGACUGGGAUAACUUCGGGAAACCGGAGCUAAUACCGGAUAAUAUUUUGAACCGCAUGGUUCAAAAGUGAAAGACGGUCUUGCUGUCACUUAUAGAUGGAUCCGCGCUGCAUUAGCUAGUUGGUAAGGUAACGGCUUACCAAGGCAACGAUGCAUAGCCGACCUGAGAGGGUGAUAGGCCACACUGGAACUGAGACACGGUCCAGACUCCUACGGGAGGCAGCAGUAGGGAAUCUUCCGCAAUAGGCGAAAGCCUGACGGAGCAACGCCGCGUGAGUGAUGAAGGUCUUCGGAUCGUAAAACUCUGUUAUUAGGGAAGAACAUAUGUGUAAGUAACUGUGCACAUCUUGACGGUACCUAAUCAGAAAGCCACGGCUAACUACGUG
Molecule: ribosomal RNA, 497 nt
Filed under: uncultured bacterium
Lineage: Bacteria
Description: partial 16S ribosomal RNA
Rfam family: Bacterial small subunit ribosomal RNA
Source: RNAcentral